UACGUAGGGUGCAGGCGUUAAUCGGAAUUACUGGGCGUAAAGCGUGCGCAGGCGGUUUUGUAAGCCAGAUGUGAAAGCCCCGGGCUUAACCUGGGAAUGGCAUUUGGGACUGCAAGGCUUGAGUGCGGCAGAGGAGACUGGAAUUCCUGGUGUAGCAGUGAAAUGCGUAGAUAUCAGGAGGAAUACCGAUGGCGAAGGCAGGUCUCUGGUCUGACACUGACGCUCAUGCACGAAAGCGUGGGGAGCAAACAGG
This 253-nucleotide ribosomal RNA is filed under the name uncultured bacterium. RNAcentral describes it as "partial 16S ribosomal RNA". It matches the Rfam family "Bacterial small subunit ribosomal RNA", at positions 524 to 776 of the family's 1533-position model. The record is from RNAcentral.